RNAcentral lists this ribosomal RNA (691 nucleotides) under unidentified microorganism. RNAcentral describes it as "bacterial SSU rRNA". It matches the Rfam family "Bacterial small subunit ribosomal RNA", at positions 53 to 749 of the family's 1533-position model. The record is from RNAcentral.
ACAUGCAGUCGAACGNGGNGUGUNGCGAUACCGCUAGUGGCGCACGGGUGCGUAACGCGUAACCAACCUGCCCUUGACUGGGGGAUAGCCCGCCGAAAGGCGGAUUAAUACCGCAUAACCUCGCAGUGUGGCAUCACACAACGAGUAAAGAUUUAUUGGUCAAGGAUGGGGUUGCGUGACAUUAGCUAGUUGGCGGGGUAAUGGCCCACCAAGGCGACGAUGUCUAGGGGACCUGAGAGGGUGAUCCCCCACACUGGCACUGAGAUACGGGCCAGACUCCUACGGGAGGCAGCAGUAGGGAAUAUUGGGCAAUGGGCGAGAGCCUGACCCAGCCAUGCCGCGUGCCGGAUGAAGGCCUUCUGGGUUGUAAACGGCUUUUCUCAGGGAAGAAAACGACCAUGCGUGGUACACUGACGGUACCUGAGGAAUAAGCACCGGCUAACUCCGUGCCAGCAGCCGCGGUAAUACGGAGGGUGCAAGCGUUGUCCGGAUUUAUUGGGUUUAAAGGGUGCGUAGGCGGCCCGUUAAGUCCGGGGUGAAAGCCCACUGCUCAACAGUGGAACUGCCCUGGAUACUGGCGGGCUUGAGUCCAGACGAGGUUGGCGGAAUGGAUGCUGUAGCGGUGAAAUGCAUAGAUAGCAUCCAGAACCCCGAUUGCGAAGGCAGCUGACUAGGCUGGUACUGACGCUGA